UAAAUUUUUUGUAUGAACGUCUUUAAAUAACUUAUAGCUUCGUGUUUUCGUGCAUCGGCUGGCAUUUGCUUAAAUCUGGGAUGUUCGUGUCCACCUCCUAAGGUAUACCCUUAUUGGUUCCAUAUAUUUCUAGUUAUUCAUAUAUGGAUAUGAAACUCUGGAUCUGUAGUACAUCUGCCUCAGUGAAAACACAUACCAGAGGCAGAUAUCAUUUUGCAUGCUACCUCCACUGCCUUGGUCAUUAGCAAGAGCCCUAAGCAAUAGGCCACCACCCUGUUUACCGUUCUGGAAUUUCUUAAAUAACACAGCCACCCGCUUAGUGUCAGUCAGUAGUUUGUGACUUGUUCUUUUGUUCAUGUUGUAAGUAGUAUUGAUUUACAAUUUACACAUUUAGCAGGAGCAGCAAUGUGUGGAACACCGCUUCGCAGUGGUGCUACGAUCGGCCAAUUCUUCGAAUUCAAUUAAGAAAAUGGUCAGCGUCUGCAAGUGUGGGGUAAUUCCAUGAAAUAGCGCUGCUUGCAGUUUGCGCACCUACUAAAAGACGGUCGCUGCUCAACACUGCAGGUCCAUUCCAUUUGAAAUGGAAACUCUUAGCCAUCGUUAGCUUCUUUCUGCACUCUCAACAGACAUAGGAAUCUUCACCGAUGGUUCUAACGAUGGGACCACAGCCCCCAAUGGUACGCCAGAAACAACCGAUUCUUCUGAUACUUCGGACCCACCGACAUCACCCAUCAAGAAGCGGAAGACACUUUGAAGACCUUGACAGAUGGAAUUUUGAAGGAGGUGGGAGCACGGAACGAAAUGCAGAGCGACGCCACCUUGCGAUGCAUUCGCGUGACGACAUUACCUUCACAAUAAUUUGCCUUGAAGAACAAAAUUAUUCUUUACUGUUGCUGCUGGAGUGGUAACCUCAGCCAGUUGAUGCCUUGAUCAUCACUAGGAGCCAGGAUGCCUUGAUCAUCAACUGGCUGGUGAAGCCACUGCAGCAGCAACAGUCCAGACCAAUCUUGUUAUUGAAGACAAAGUUAGGACCGGAGCCAAAGGAAAUCUGGACUCGGACUAUCUGCUGAUAAUAUUUUGAUAACGUUUUUACAAAUUGAAUAAAAUUAGAUAACUAAAUA
Molecule: small RNA, 1121 nt
Filed under: Drosophila pseudoobscura pseudoobscura
Lineage: Eukaryota; Metazoa; Arthropoda; Insecta; Diptera; Drosophilidae
Description: GA32552
Source: RNAcentral